CCUACGGGAGGCAGCAGUAAGGAAUAUUGGACAAUGGGCGCAAGCCUGAUCCAGCCAUGCCGCGUGAAGGAUUAAGGUCCUCUGGAUUGUAAACUUCUUUUAUAGGGGACGAAAAAAGGGCAUUCUUGCUCACUUGACGGUACCCUAUGAAUAAGCACCGGCUAACUCCGUGCCAGCAGCCGCGGUAAUACGGAGGGUGCAAGCGUUAUCCGGAUUCACUGGGUUUAAAGGGUGCGUAGGCGGGCAGUUAAGUCAGUGGUGAAAUCUCCGAGCUCAACUCGGAAACUGCCAUUGAUACUAUCUGUCUUGAAUAUUGUGGAGGUAAGCGGAAUAUGUCAUGUAGCGGUGAAAUGCUUAGAUAUGACAUAGAACACCUAUUGCGAAGGCAGCUUACUACGCAUAUAUUGACGCUGAGGCACGAAAGCGUGGGGAUCAAACAGGAUUAGAUACCCUGGUAGUCCACGCCCUAAACGAUGGAUACUCGACAUACGCGAUACACUGUGUGUGUCUGNGNGAAGAGAUAAGUAUCCUUACGNGUAGUUACGUUCGCGAGAGAGACGACAANAGAGUUAGACGGCGNGAGACGNGCGACGGACGACGACGAGGGAGGUAGG
This 614-nucleotide ribosomal RNA is filed under the name uncultured bacterium. RNAcentral's name for it is "bacterial SSU rRNA". It matches the Rfam family "Bacterial small subunit ribosomal RNA", at positions 338 to 961 of the family's 1533-position model. The record is from RNAcentral.